RNAcentral lists this long non-coding RNA (518 nucleotides) under Trifolium pratense (red clover). RNAcentral describes it as "long non-coding RNA (TPRA_LNC008471)". Lineage: Eukaryota; Viridiplantae; Streptophyta; Magnoliopsida; Fabales; Fabaceae. The record is from RNAcentral.
UAUAUGCAGCAGAACAACAUUAACGUGUUCUUUCUCCUUCCUCUCCAUAUCUCCUCCUCCCUUCACCACCACCAUUUCACACAAAAAUCGCCAUCUCACCACCGUCCCAUCCUCACCAUCUCACCGUUAUCAUCUCACCAUUCCUUCUUCUUUCUUCCUCUCCGCAAACAACCGCCGACAACGAUCCUCUCGCCUGAAACAAAAACUCAGAUACUAAUCUCACCGUUCCUUCUUCUUUCUUCAAUUUCUUUUCGAAAUCCUUAAUUUGCUUCAACCUGUUUUUAAUCCCUAUUUUUCUAAUCUUUCUUUCUAUGUGGUUUUGCAGAUACUCUAACGAGGAGGUAAAAUUUUCAUUCCUCAAACCCUAUCGGAGGAAUCGCAACACAAUCAGGUGAGAGAGAUAGAAAAUAAUAUUCACUUUCUUGCUUUUAUUCUCGCUUGAUUUCUAUUUUUUUUUUUUCUCAGUUAUUGUUCUCUUUCUCUCUGUUUUGUUCAUCCACAACAGGAAAAAAUUGGAA